GCAAAGAGUAUUUGAAAUAGAGGCGGAGUGUCAAAGUAAAUUAUGUAGCCACAGAAAUUUACUGCCAUCUUUCGACACAUGAUUAAAACUUUUAGAACGCCAUUUGACUUUGAUCCUUAUUCUUUCACUGAUAUGUGUUAAAUUUGUUAAAU
Molecule: long non-coding RNA, 152 nt
Organism: Cydia amplana
Lineage: Eukaryota; Metazoa; Arthropoda; Insecta; Lepidoptera; Tortricidae
Exons: 2
Source: RefSeq, a predicted model, not a curated record